UCAGGAGCCAAGUCCCAUUGAGUUUUUCAAAGAGACCCAUACUAACAGCAUGAGCGAGCCGACACAUCUAGCUUAUAAUGCAAUGGAAAAGAAAAGGGAAACACAAUCAUAAGUGACAACCAGUGUUUGAUUCAAUGAUUGUGGCUGAAGUUCUAAAGGAAGAAAACGCCCAUAGCACCUUCCUUUCCAGCAUGAGUUAUGCAUCAAGAUCCGGGAGAUUUGGGAACUCUAAUUCAUCAGCAAGGAUCUGAGUUCUAGAAGAAAGAAUUGAGCAAAAGGAUAGAGAGGCGAGAGAUGCAAAUGACAGGCACUGAGAGGAGUUAGUGGUGAGACUUGAAGCACAAGCGAGAGCAUUUGAAGAGGUGU
Molecule: long non-coding RNA, 366 nt
Organism: Triticum dicoccoides
Lineage: Eukaryota; Viridiplantae; Streptophyta; Magnoliopsida; Poales; Poaceae
Exons: 3
Source: RefSeq, a predicted model, not a curated record